UGGGGAAUUUUCCGCAAUGGGCGAAAGCCUGACGGAGCGACGCCGCGUGGAGGAUGAAGGAUCUCGGUCUGUAAACUCCUGUCAGGGGGGACGAAUCAACUGACGGUACCCCCAAAGGAAGCAUCGGCUAACUACGUGCCAGCAGCCGCGGUAAGACGUAGGAUGCGAGCGUUGUUCGGAUUUAUUGGGCGUAAAGCGUACGUAGGCGGCUUGUUAAGUCUGGUGUUAAAGCUAGGGGCUCAACCCCUGUGUUGCACUGGAAACUGGCAGGCUUGAGUGUGGUAGGGGAAGGUGGAAUUCCGAGUGUAGCGGUGAAAUGCGUAGAUAUUCGGAAGAACACCGGUGGCGAAAGCGACCUUCUGGGCCAUUACUGACGCUGAGGUACGAAAGCUUGGGGAGCGAACGGG
This 407-nucleotide ribosomal RNA is filed under the name uncultured bacterium. Its description in RNAcentral is "bacterial SSU rRNA". It matches the Rfam family "Bacterial small subunit ribosomal RNA", at positions 355 to 776 of the family's 1533-position model. The record is from RNAcentral.